Molecule: small nucleolar RNA, 104 nt
Organism: Phragmites australis (common reed)
Lineage: Eukaryota; Viridiplantae; Streptophyta; Magnoliopsida; Poales; Poaceae
Product: small nucleolar RNA snoR1
Exons: 1
Source: RefSeq, a predicted model, not a curated record
AGCUGUGAUGAGCAUUGCUUCCUUCUGACACCUCUUGUAUGAGAAGUGUGCCUCUCUCGAUCGAGAAGCCCUUCGUUGAGCAGAGUACAGCAACCCUCUGAGCA